Molecule: transfer-messenger RNA, 155 nt
Filed under: Pseudomonadota bacterium
Lineage: Bacteria; Pseudomonadati; Pseudomonadota
Description: partial transfer-messenger RNA
Rfam family: transfer-messenger RNA
About the family: Bacterial tmRNA, also known as 10Sa RNA or SsrA, is named for its dual tRNA and mRNA-like properties. Its role is to liberate the mRNA from a stalled ribosome.
Source: RNAcentral
GGGGGCGACCGGUUUCGACGUGGGUUGCGAACCUUCAGAGGCGUACCGAGGCGCAGUGCCCUCGUAAAUCUCGCUGCAAAAACUAUAGUUGCCAACGACGACAACUUCGCUCUCGCCGCCUAACCGCGGCUGACCUCCGACCGGUCCGUGCCUGU